AGUGAACGCUGGCGGUAGGCCUAACACAUGCAAGUCGAACGGCAGCACAGUAAGAGCUUGCUCUUACGGGUGGCGAGUGGCGGACGGGUGAGGAAUACAUCGGAAUCUACUUUUUCGUGGGGGAUAACGUAGGGAAACUUACGCUAAUACCGCAUACGACCUACGGGUGAAAGCAGGGGAUCUUCGGACCUUGCGCGAUUGAAUGAGCCGAUGUCGGAUUAGCUAGUUGGCGGGGUAAAGGCCCACCAAGGCGACGAUCCGUAGCUGGUCUGAGAGGAUGAUCAGCCAACCUGGAACGGGAACCCGGUCCGAGCUCCUACGGGAGGCAGCAGGGGGGAAAUUUGGACAAGGGGCGCAAGCCUGAUCCAGCCAUCCCGGGGGGGGGAAGAAGGCCUUCGGGUUGUAAACCCCUUUUUUUGGGAAAAAAAAGCAGCAGGUUAAUACCCCGCUGUUCUGACGGUACCAAAAGAAUAAGCACCGGCUAACUUCGU
Molecule: ribosomal RNA, 491 nt
Filed under: uncultured bacterium
Lineage: Bacteria
Description: partial 16S ribosomal RNA
Rfam family: Bacterial small subunit ribosomal RNA
Source: RNAcentral